RNAcentral lists this ribosomal RNA (492 nucleotides) under uncultured bacterium. Its description in RNAcentral is "partial 16S ribosomal RNA". It matches the Rfam family "Bacterial small subunit ribosomal RNA", at positions 29 to 507 of the family's 1533-position model. The record is from RNAcentral.
AGUGAACGCUGGCGGUAGGCCUAACACAUGCAAGUCGAACGGCAGCACAGUAAGAGCUUGCUCUUACGGGUGGCGAGUGGCGGACGGGUGAGGAAUACAUCGGAAUCUACUUUUUCGUGGGGGAUAACGAAGGGAAACUUACGCUAAUACCGCAUACGACCUACGGGUGAAAGCAGGGGAUCUUCGGACCUUGCGCGAUUGAAUGAGCCGAUGUCGGAUUAGCUAGUUGGCGGGGUAAAGGCCCACCAAGGCGACGAUCCGUAGCCGGUCUGAGAGGAUGAUCAGCCACACUGGAACUGAGACACGGUCCAGCCUCCUACGGGAGGCAGCAGUGGGGAAUAUUGGACAAUGGGCGCAAGCCUGAUCCAGCCAUACCGCGUGGGUGAAGAAGGCCUUCGGGUUGUAAAGCCCUUUUGUUGGGAAAGAAAAGCAGCAGGUUAAUACCCCGCUGUUCUGACGGUACCCAAAGAAUAAGCACCGGCUAACUUCGUG